CAGCCGCCACGGUAAUACGUAGGUGGCGAGCGUUGUCCGGAACUAUUGGGCGUAAAGGGAGCGCAGGCGGACAUAUAAGUCCAUCUUAAAAGUGCGGGGCUCAACCCCGUGAGGGGAUGGAAACUGUAUGCCUUGAGUGCAGGAGAGGAAAGCGGAAUUCCCAGUGUAGCGGUGAAAUGCGUAGAUAUUGGGAGGAACACCAGUGGCGAAGGCGGCUUUCUGGACCGUAACUGACGCUGAGGCUCGAAAGCCAGGGGAGCGAACGGGAUUAGAUACCCGAGUAGUCCCUGUCUCUUAUACC
Molecule: ribosomal RNA, 301 nt
Filed under: uncultured bacterium
Lineage: Bacteria
Description: partial 16S ribosomal RNA
Rfam family: Bacterial small subunit ribosomal RNA
Source: RNAcentral